GGGAACUGGGAGGGUGGCCUGCCCUCAGCCUAGAGUCCAUCCUGUCCCUGCCUCCUCUCCUCUCCCCUCCAACACUGAGCCUCUGCCCUCAGACCAGAGUCCUGCUGCCCCACCCCCACUUCCCCUCCCCCAUCAGACCCAGCCUUUUCUCUCUGGCACAUGGGUCCUGGUGAGACUUGUCGCCCCCUAGAACUCUGCCUCCGCCCUCAGACAAGUCUCUCCCAGUCCUUGGAGGUGUUUCCCUCCCAAUCAGACCAGAGCUUCUGCACUCAGACUUUCUGCUUCUGCUCCUAUCCUACUAUUCAAUCGCCCUCCUCCAUCUGACCCAGCCUCUGUCUUCAGUCACCCAGGCUGGAGUGCAAUGGUGCAAUCUCGGCUCACUGCAACCUCUGCCACACGGGUUCAAGCAAUUCUCCUGUCUCAGCCUCCCGAGUAGCUGGGACUACAGGCACACGCCACCAUGCCUGGCUAAUUUUUGUAUAUUUAGUAGAGAUGGAGUUUCACCAUAUUGGCCAGGCUGGUCUCGAACUCCUGACCUUGUGAUCUGCCCACCUCGGCCUCCCAAAGUGCUAGGAUUAUGGGUGUGAGCCAUUGCGCCCAGCCUGUUUGUUUUUAAGAUACAGUCUCUCUCUAUUGCCCAGAAAAUGUGGCUACUUAGCUGGAGGUGAAGCUCUGCCAUCCACUUCACUGAAUGACUGGGGUCCGUCUCCACCUCUCGGAGCAAAACUGAAUAUUCGGGUGACCUACACAAUUGGUCAGACUAGGCUGGGCGUGGUGGUGGACACCUGUAAUCCCGGUGACCCAGGAGGCUGAGGCAGGAGGAUCACUUCAAUCUGGGAGGUGGAGGCUGCAGUGAGCUAUGAUCACGCCACUGCACUCUAGCCUGGGCGACAGAACAAGACCUUGUCUCUAAGAUAAUAAUAAAAAACACAAACAUAAAUAAAAAGAGCCAGGCCUAGAAAAGUUGGAAAAACAACUAAUGAUUCAGAGAAGCCGAGUGGCUUGCCCAGGAUCAUGCAGGAAGCAAGUUGGGAAACUGGGUCUUUCCCCCUUGGUGUCUCCAGAGCCACAGGACAUGAACAAAGACAUAGAGCCAGACCUACAGAUGGUGGAUGUUUUGAGGGGAUGAAUCCUGAGACUCUUUCCUUCAACUCUCUGAGUGGGAGAUGUCUGCCCUCUGGCCAAUUUUGCAGCAUGAUAAGGCCAGGUAGGCAGAGUGCAGGAGAAGGAGGACUGCUAUGGGAUGGGAGUCAGCGAGGGCUUCCUGGAGGAGGAGGCCUGGCACAUCGUGGCAGGUAAUGCAGGGGCAAGAAUAGCAAAAGCCAAGGCCCUGGGGUGGGGAGGAGCCUGGUAUGUUCAAGGGGCAGAAGGGAGGCUGAAGCAGAGUGAUCAAGCGGACAGGGCAGGCAGAGCCUCAAAUCCCAGACUGAGGAACAUGGUGAAGAGGACACUUCGGGGGUCCACACAUAAAGACGGAGACAGAGACUCAGGGCAGGAAAGUCACAUGCCCUGGGACACCCCAGUAAACAGAGCCAAAUUCAAACCUCAGCCUGUCUGCAGCUGACAUAGGAUGAAGUUGAAGGACGGGGUGAGGAAAAGGAGCUCAUGGUGAAGUCAGACAGAGUCCCCCCGGGGCAGGCCAGCGCAGCUCCCAGGAAAGCACAUAGGAGGUGCGUUUGCAUUCGGGGUGAGGAAUCUGGCAGGCUGGGAACAUGGCUCAUUCCUCCACCUCCAUCUUGUGACAGCUCUGACUGCUGCCCCCGCAGGAGGGUGCAGGGAGGAAGUGGAGGGCGGGAGGGCGAUGCAUUCCUCUUCUUCUGUCCCAAAGCUUUGGCCUCUAGCAGCCACUUGGAACAUUCUCUUCCUGUCUAACUGGUCAUUAGAAUAAUGGGGGCUCUGUGGGCAGAGGGUCGUCCAGGUUAGGAACCUGGGGGUGGGGCACAGCAGCAGCUGUGGGGUGGGGGUGGGAGGCUGCGUGGGAAUUGGAGCCUGGUGAAGGAGGGUGGCAGGCAGGGCAGGUCCCUUCUGCUGUUGUGGGAUUCUGGGGGUGUUCAGUGGUGCCUUUUGCUAUCCCGAAUCUCGGCCCCUAGAUGAGAGAAGCUUCAAGGCCCCAAGGAUUUCCCUGUCAGACCCAGGAGGCCUGAAGUGGCCUGGGUCCAAAGGGAACUGGGCCUGACACUCGCCAAAUGCUUCCAGGAGGGGGCUUUCUGGGAGGUGAAACCUCAGGCCAGGGUGGCCAUGCCACACUCACCCUGCUCUCAGUCCUACCUGCUUCUCUCCACCUCACACCUCUGCCCACCAGACCACCACGGGGGAUCACCUGGCCGCACACAGCAGCCUCCUGCCCCCAAAACUCAACAUGAGCCUGGGGGGGCUUUGAAAACUCGAACACCAGAUUGCAUCACCGGGUCCCAAACCUGCUGAUGGCUCCCGAGGGCUCUGGGAACAUUCAAACUCCAAACUCCUCACCAUGCCUAAGAGGCCCUUCUGUGUCUCCAGCCUCGUCAGCCAGUUCCCCACUACGUUCUAGCUCCUACCCACCCCUGAGAGCCCCCUCACUCCCCUCACUUAGCAUUUGAGGCCCCCCUCACCUCACCCCUUCACCCCAAGGUGAAGUCACAGCUCCUAAAACACUCUUCCCUAGACUGAGUCUGGACAUCGGCUGAGGGGACACGUGCCCUGCUAGGUGGGCAGUGGGCAGGAGCUGUUGGACGCAUCUGGUUCACAGUGAGGUCAACAGCCUUGCCUGGGGUCCCAUGUCACAAAGGCUGAGGAGGAUGAGGUGAGAGUCACAGCCACGGCGCCAGUUCUAGAUCCCAAACUCACCAACCUCUGGCAAACAGGCCCUGCGUUCCAAAUCUGCUCUAGCCAUGACUGCCUUCCCCAGGCCUGUUUCCUCCUCUGGACAAGGGAGGUGGUAGCAUUUGAGCUAAGCUCCGCUCUUCCCAUGUCGGCAAGUGGGGGCUGCAGCUCCAAGGCCCUGGGAGAGAUGGAGAGUGGGGGUGGGCCACGGUUGGGGUUCGGUGGGGGAGCGACCAGCGCUGCUGAUGAAUCAUUCAUGAGGGGCGGGCUGCCCCGGAGGCAGUUUCCCCAGCAACGCAGCUUAGUGUCUCCAGCAAGAUGCCAGGAGGGUCUCGGAUUCCCGGGAUUCCCAGGCCCGUCUUGGCCAUAUCCCUGCCUCCGGUUCCCCACCGUGGUCAUGCCUCUGCCGUUGAACCUCCAUCCCGGCUGUGCCCGUCUCCAGUCCCCGGACCCCAUUCUGUCCCAGCUAUGACCCUGCCUCCGGUCCUACGGGCUGCUCCUGGCCCCAUGGGAACCAUGCCCGUCUCCAGCUUCCCUCUCCCCAGCUGACCUGAGGAAAUGCCGCUCUUCGGGCGCCUCCGACGGGU
RNAcentral lists this long non-coding RNA (3389 nucleotides) under Homo sapiens (human). RNAcentral's name for it is "HSALNT0256931". The record is from RNAcentral. Lineage: Eukaryota; Metazoa; Chordata; Mammalia; Primates; Hominidae.